GAUGAACGCUGGCGGCGUGCCUAAUACAUGCCAGUCGAGCGAACAGACGAGGAGCUUGCUCCUCUGACGUUAGCGGCGGACGGGUGAGUAACACGUGGAUAACCUACCUAUAAGACUGGGAUAACUUCGGGAAACCGGCGCUAAUACCGGAUAAUAUAUUGCACCGCAUGGUUCAAUAGUGAAAGACGGUUUUGCUGGCACUUAUAGAUGGAUCCGCGCCGCAUUAGCUAGUUGGUAAGGUCACGGCUUACCACGGCAACGAGGCGUAGCCGACCUGACAGGGUGAUCGGCCACACUGGAACUGGGACACGGUCCAGACUCCUACGGGAGGCAGCAGUAGGGAAUCUGCGGCAAUGGGCGAAAGCCUGACGGAGCAACGCCGCGUGAGUGAUGAAGGUCUUCGGAUCGUAAAACUCUGUUAUUAGGGAAGAACAAAUGUGUAAGUAACUAUGCACGUCUUGACGGUACCUAAUCAGAAAGCCACGGCUAACUACGUG
RNAcentral lists this ribosomal RNA (497 nucleotides) under uncultured bacterium. RNAcentral describes it as "partial 16S ribosomal RNA". It matches the Rfam family "Bacterial small subunit ribosomal RNA", at positions 28 to 507 of the family's 1533-position model. The record is from RNAcentral.